AAUAGGGCCUGAAAUCAGUUGGCGAUCGAGCGACAGGGCGUACAAGGCGAUUCUCAAAACGACCGAGGAGCGAUCCUCCAGUAGGAAGAGAAUCGAGCCGGCGUCGUGUCGUGCGUUUUGAAAAACGACCCAGGGAGUGUACUUACAUGGCGAGUCUAACCCGUGAACCGGGGAAGGCGCAGGGAAACCGAUACGGCCGCAGUCUUACGACGAGGGCCACCGUGUUCAAGCGCGGGGAGUCAUGUGGGUACGACCCGAAACCAGGCGAUCUAUGCGCGAGCAAGGUGAAGCGUGGCGAAAGCCACGUGGAGGCCUGUUAGAGUUGGUAUUCUACAAUAUCCUCUCGUGACUCGUGUAUAGGGGUGAAAGGCCCAUCGAGCCUGGCAACAGCUGGUUCCGACCGAAACAUGUCGAAGCAUGACCUCUUCCGAGAUAGCUCGCGGGGUAGAGCUACCGAUUGGAUGACCCGCCUCCGAGAGGAGUCGGCCAUCCUGUCGAACUCCAAACCCGCAAGCGUCGCAAACGAAGGGAGUCCGGUACGCGGGGUAAGCCUGUGUACCAUGAGGGGAACAACCCAGAGCCGGGUUAAGGUCCCAAAGUGUAGAUUAAGUGCGAUUCGAAGGUGGUCUCAAGCCCUAAACAGCCGGGAGGUGAGCUUAGAAGCAGCUACCCUCUAAGAAAAGCGUAACAGCUUACCGGCCGAGGUUUGAGGCGCCCAAAAUGAUCGGGGCUCAAAUCUACCACCGAGACCUGGCCGUACCCGUCACAGGGUAAUCGUGUAGGUCGGCGUACUGUUCGGAUGGAAGCCCGGGCGAGAGCUCGUGUGGACCGUUCAGUAACGACAAUCCUGGUCACAGUAGCAGCGAUAGUCGGGUGAGAACCUCGACGGCCUGAUGAGCAAGGGUUCCUCGGCACUGCCAAUCAGCCGAGGGUCAGCCGGUCCUAAGUCUGCCCGCAACUCGACGCAGACAACGGGAAACUGGUUAAUAUUCCAGUGCCAUCGUGCAAUAAACGUCAACGCCGUGUGGAACGCUGAGCCGGGCCUUCGCCCGGUCGAAUCAUGGAAACUCGUGGACGCCGUCACGGCACGAAGCGAGCGAAACGUGAGAUAGGGAAACUCAGCCGUACAUAGGGCCCGUGAAAAGACAAGCACGAUGUCCGUACCGAGAUCCGACACAGGUGCUCUGGCAGCGAAAGCCACGGCCUGUCGGGAGAACCGACGUUAGGGAAUUCGGCAAGUUAGUCCCGUACCUUCGGAAGAAGGGAUGCCUGCUCUCGACGGAGCAGGUCGCAGUGACUCGGGCGCUCCGACUGUCUAAUAACAACACAGGUGACCGCAAAUCCGCAAGGACUCGUACGGUCACUGAAUCCUGCCCAGUGCGGGUAUCUGAACACCUCGUACAAGAGGACGAAGGACCCGUCAACGGCGGGGGUAACUAUGACCCUCUUAAGGUAGCGUAGUACCUUGCCGCUUCAGUAGCGGCUUGCAUGAAUGGAUAAACGAGAGCGCCACUGUCCCAACGUUGGACCCGGUGAACUGUACGUUCCAGUGCGGAGUCUGGAGACCCCCAAGGGGAAGCGAAGACCCUAUAGAGCUUUACUGCAGGCUGUCGCUGAGACGUGGUCGCCGAUGUGCAGCAUAGGUAGGAGACAUUACACAGGUACCCGCGCUAGCGGGCCACCGAGUCAACAUUGAAAUACUACCCGUCGGUGACUGCGACUCUCACUCCGGGAGGAGUACACCGGUAGCCGGGCAGUUUGACUGGGGCGGUACGCGCUCGAAAAGAUAUCGAGCGCGCCCGAAGAUCAUCUCAGCCGGGUCGGGAAUCCGGCGAAGAGCGCAAGAGCACAAGAUGGUCUGACAGUGUCAUUCCCAACGAGUGACGCUGACGCGAAAGCGUGGUCUAGCGAACCUACGAGGCUCCGGAAUGGGGCCCGUAGAUGACAGAAAAGCUACCUUAGGGAUAACAGAGUCGUCACCCGCAAGAGCACAUAUCGACCGGGUGGCUUGCUACCUCGAUGUCGGUUCCCUCCAUCCUGCCCGUGCAGAAGCGGGCAAGGGUGAGGUUGUUCGCCUAUUAAAGGAGGUCGUGAGCUGGGUUUAGACCGUCGUGAGACAGGUCGGCUGCUAUCUAUUGGGGGUGUAAUGGUACUUGACGUGAACGAACGUAUAGUACGAGAGGAACUACGUUUGGUCGCCACUGGUGUA
Molecule: ribosomal RNA, 2209 nt
Filed under: Halorubrum alkaliphilum
Lineage: Archaea; Methanobacteriati; Methanobacteriota; Halobacteria; Halobacteriales; Haloferacaceae
Description: Archaeal large subunit ribosomal RNA
Rfam family: Archaeal large subunit ribosomal RNA
Source: Rfam by way of RNAcentral